CCCUUAGAUGUCCGGGGCCGCACGCGCGCUACACUGAAGUAAUCAGCGUGCAUACGAAACCCGCUCUUAGCAGAGUGGGCAACCAAAUGGACCCAUUUCGUGAUGGGGAUUGAGCAUUGUAAUUAUUGCUCAUGAACGAGGAAUUCCCAGUAAGCGCGAGUCAUCAGCUCGCGUUGAUUACGUCCCUGCCCUUUGUACACACCGCCCGUCGCUACUACCGAUUGAAUGAUUUAGUGAGGACUUCGGACCGGCUGGUGAAGCUGUCUUCGGACGGCAUUGCUGGUUGGGAAGAUGUCCAAACUUGCUCAUUUAGAGGAAGUAAAAGUCGUAACA
This 333-nucleotide ribosomal RNA is filed under the name uncultured eukaryote. RNAcentral describes it as "partial 18S ribosomal RNA". It matches the Rfam family "Eukaryotic small subunit ribosomal RNA", at positions 1470 to 1796 of the family's 1831-position model. The record is from RNAcentral.